ACUUGGCUGGCUCAGUUGGUAGGGCAUGUGACUCGAUCUCAUGGUCAUGAGUUCAAGUCCCAUAUUGAGUG
This 71-nucleotide transfer RNA is filed under the name Ailuropoda melanoleuca (giant panda). It matches the Rfam family "tRNA". From Rfam's summary of the family: Transfer RNA (tRNA) molecules are approximately 80 nucleotides in length. Their secondary structure includes four short double-helical elements and three loops (D, anti-codon, and T loops). Further hydrogen bonds mediate the characteristic L-shaped molecular structure. tRNAs have two regions of fundamental functional importance: the anti-codon, which is responsible for specific mRNA codon recognition, and the 3' end, to which the tRNAs corresponding amino acid is attached (by aminoacyl-tRNA synthetases). tRNAs cope with the degeneracy of the genetic code in two manners: having more than one tRNA (with a specific anti-codon) for a particular amino acid; and 'wobble' base-pairing, i.e. permitting non-standard base-pairing at the 3rd anti-codon position. Lineage: Eukaryota; Metazoa; Chordata; Mammalia; Carnivora; Ursidae. The record is from Rfam by way of RNAcentral.